GAACAAGGCUGUCUGAUUUUGGUUCUUUCAAGAUACUGUUAUUAAAGGUUUAAUUUUUUUCCUCAAAUUUUCCAAUGAUGUUUGCAAAGAGCCCACUGGAGAUGGAUUGUAGUUGAGUUUUCUGUUGUAGAUGUUAAUAGUGUUGUGCAAAACGGUAGCUUGAUUGGUGUCUUUCACACUUUUCAUUGACAUUCUUCCAUGUGCUUUUGGGGUUCAAAUAAAGAUUUAUGAAAGAGUGGUAGUACCUGAUUUGCCCUUCUUGCCUGAUUUAAAUAUAAUAAGGUUCGGGAAGAAGUUGAAUUUCAGUCAUGGGCAUCCUUUAUUUGGGGGUGGAUGAGUAUUGUGCAUCCCUUGCGUCCUUUUCUUUUCCCAUGAAGACAAAAAAAAAAAUGCAAAGAAAGUGGUGGUGGUGGUGGUGUCAAAACGAAUGGAAAGUGGAGAAAACAAACAGUGCUUGGAGAUUUUGUGCGAAAGCAUCUUUAAUUUCUUGUGAGACACUUGCUUGACUCCAUCACUUAACGCUCAUUACCCCUUAAAACUAGAAUUUGAAAUUUGGCCAUGACAAGAUGCUCAUUACCCCAAAAGAAUGGUGUUGAUUCUUAAAUGCAGGUAUUUUCUUGCAUCAUGUUUGACAAUAUCUUACACUAUUUUGUUGAGUUCACCAUGUAUAUAAUGGCUUAAUUUUAUAUGGCAAUGAAUGGUCACGUUCUUCGUUAGGUGUUGUUGAAGUUGUGUUGCCAACCGAUCACAGUAUCCAUACUAGAGCAUAAGGUACUUGUCGAACAACUCACUUCACUUUGAUACUUUGAAAUAAUUAAAUUGGCUCGAACUGAAUUUUGUCAAUUCUGGACUUUUGUUGAGUUCCAUUUCUUGAUGCGACUUCAAGGUGUCAGGCCCUUUUAGUUUCAUACUAUGUCAUAUUAAAAAUUGUGCUGAUUUGGUUGCCAGAUUCUUUUGCAUGGAUGUGUAUCCAGUUGGUAAGAAAUUAAUCGUUGGUAUGAGCAUAAGACUUAAGUAUUAAAGAUAGCAUAGUGCCUAGAGUUUUAUUUCUGAGUUGGGUUCAUACUAACAACCCCUUUGGAUCGUGACAAAGGAUGAGAAAAAUCCUCACUUAGCUGGAUAACGAAAUGAGAUGAAAAGUGGUGAGAAAAGAUGAGAAGCCAAGAAAAGAGAUUCAUCUCUUUUGGUACAUUGUAUUUCUCACCAGAUCUUAUAACUUUUCCAAGGGAAAAGAAAGUGGAAGGGGCAUUGUGGGAGAGAGAUUUUCAUGCUUUUCAUUUUUUACUUGCAUUCUUGCUUUUGGUGGCUUAUUUUCUUUAGCGUUUACGUACUUAUUUUGACAGUUUGAGCACAAUAAUCUAUUCUAUCUACCAACUGGGGUCCGAUUUUAUUCCCAUUGCGGAAUAUGGAAAUGAGUUCAGUAAGGGUUCAAGAAAAGAAAAGAAAACCAAGGAAAGUGGUGAGGCUCUUGUACAGUGGGAAGAACCAUUAUGAACUACUUGUCUGAGAACUAGUGCUUCAAGUCUAACAGGAGAGGAUACACUGGUAACCUCCGUAGUUUCAUCUAGAAUAGAAUUGGCAGAAUCAUCGGGUCGUAGACAAAACACAUUCACAGAAGCAAGGAAUCGAUGCAAUUUUGCCUUCGAAGCAAUCACAGGAUGACAGAAGUUGCAAAUUCCCUGGGUUUUUUUUUUAUUGUUUGUACAUACUGAAAAAAUUAAUAUAGAACAUAGAAUAAAGGAUGAAAUUAGGCAAAGAUGAAGUUACAUUUAUAUAUACUAAUUAGAUAUUUUGGUGCCCACUUUCCGUCUCCAAAUAUAUAUAAGGAAGUUAUAUUUGGAUUGCAGUGACAUGGUAUCCUGUUCCAAAAGCAGUUUACCAUUUCCUAAGAGAUGGGACUUUCUUUUACGUAGAAACUAGCAGAGGUGAACGAGCUAUUGCUGUUGAAGCAAUUGGAAGAGGAACUGGUCUUCUCGUUUAAAAAAAGUUUGAUAGGUUCCUGGAAGAUUAUGCAAACAUACCCUUGGGAGAGAUGGUUCAGUGGGAUUUGAAAACAUAUUAUUUACCACUCCUUUGUUGUUUAAAGCGUGCCAGGUAAUUACAAGUUUUUUUCGUAGAGUACUGUUGGACAUAUUGUUUCAUUUAAAAAUGUUUUCUCCACAGCAGCUACAUUGGAACUUUUUGUAACCAUUCUUUUGAACAAUGUUAUUGGUGUUCGCUAUUGCUAGUAUUUGAAAUAUGUAUCUCAACUUCAUUUAACCAUGCCAACGGGGCAAAUUUGAUAUUGAAAUCACUAAUGCAACUAGUUCGAUUGAGGCGGCAAUCUUUGCUGAAAAAAUAGAAGAUUUCUUUGGUAUUACGACAGCAAAAAUAAUGAAAAAUGCAGUGGAGGACUAUCCCUCUCUGCCUCUACUCCAUAAAUUAUCAACACCAAAGAAAGUGACUGCCAACUUGAAGGCAUACAUGUACAACUAUGCAGGAAUGAGUACAUGCAAAUUCAGUGUUGACUGUUGAGGCAAUCUUCAAUAUGGGAGCCCCAGAUGAUAUUGAAACACUUGGGCUUCAAGCUUUGAACACGCCGAACAACAAAGCCAAAAAAGACAAAAACAAGGCUUCAGCAUCCCAUGAAACACAACCCUCCAGCCCGGCUUCAACCACCAUGAUGCAUGAGGCACUCGUAGAAGAAGAAAUCAACAAGAAAAACGACUAGAUCAGGAAUCACAACAACUUUUGAAAGCCUAGCAGAUUAACAAGGAGGCAAAGCUUUUGGUGUGCAUGUUUUGCUUCCCAAAUAUCUACACCUGAAGAACGACUACAUCAGGAAUCACAACUUCUUUUUAGAUUAAAAAGGAUGCAAAGCUUUUGGUGUGCAUGCUUUGCUUCCAAUAUUACUAAAUCUGUAACCUUUUAUCUGCAAAACUUUGGUUGUAAAUCAUGUUCUCGCUUCCAAACUCUUAAUGUAAAUUAUAAGACAUGCUUCUUUUGGAAAAAUUCUCUGAAACUAUCACAUCGGGCAUAAUCCUCGUACUAUGCUCACCUAGU
This is an RNA transcript of Rhododendron vialii, 3042 nucleotides long. RefSeq lists it as uncharacterized. The record is from RefSeq and is a predicted model, not a curated record. Lineage: Eukaryota; Viridiplantae; Streptophyta; Magnoliopsida; Ericales; Ericaceae. The transcript is spliced from 3 exons.